AUAAAACACUAACUCGAAAAAAAAAAGCAACAAAUUUUUCUAAGUGUUAAAACCCCCCAGCUGAUACUCUCAACCUCUUAAACUUGUCGAAGAAAACCCUUGCUGCAUCCAACAAAAUCCCUUUUUGCUGCUGCUCAACAAAAACCCUAGCCGUCAUGCUUACCCAUCUCCGCUGCUUAGUGCCAUGGUCACUGGUGACUUUCAUUGUGAUUCUUUGAUUUCGAAAUCGGCGAACCCUCACUGAGAACCAUACGGAGAACCCACGGAACGCGUGCUGCCACACUCAAAUUUCAGAACCUAAGCUAAGAGCACACCACUGACUGAGCAUAUUAGAACCCGA
This 340-nucleotide long non-coding RNA is filed under the name Citrus sinensis (sweet orange). RNAcentral describes it as "long non-coding RNA (CSIN_LNC002492)". The record is from RNAcentral. Lineage: Eukaryota; Viridiplantae; Streptophyta; Magnoliopsida; Sapindales; Rutaceae.